UCAUUUUGGAUUUUUUUUUUAAAUUUUCCUACAAUUUUCAAGACAACUAAUACGCGAUUGUUUGAAACAACUUUUUAGAAAGUGCCUCCUUCGCCUUCAAUAUAUUUCGCGAUUUAGGAUGUAAAAAAAUGAUUCGAUAAAUAAUUUGUUACCCCUAAUGGGCUUGCAAUGUAUUGCAUCAUAAAGAUUCAAUUUGUUUUGAAAUUUAUAGUGAAAUGUUAUGCGGAACAUUUUCUUCAUUGGCCUUAAGUUUCAAAUAUGAAUAAUUUUGGAAGAUUUCAGCUAAAUUUCUAAAAGCUAUUGGAUUUCGUUUGUUUGUAGACCUUUAGUGAAAUUUAGUAACGAUAAUUUUCUCUGUUGGCAUUAAGUUCCAAAAGUGAAGAAUUGGGGAAGACUUUUGCGAAUUUCAAGAUAUUUUAAUGGAAAUAAAAAUAAGAAUUAUGAAUGUUAUUAUUUCGAAUUGAUUUCUCCUUUUUUGGUGGUAUUUGUAGUUCCUACGAAUUUCGUUUGUUUGGAGACCUCUAGUGAAAUUUAACUUAGAAUAUUUUCUUCAUUGGCUUCAAGUGCCAAAAAUAAAGCGUUGUGCCAGUUUUUGUUUCAAUUCAAAACAAAUCACUGGAAGUAGAAAUAUCAAGGAAUUCUAAAAAUAAUUAUUUUGCAUUUGAUGCCUCCAUUUUAUAUGGUAUUUUAAUUAACUACAGAGAGUUCUCAUAGAGUUCUCAUUGAUCCGAUAUAUAUUUGGGUGUCUCAUUUGUCAAAUAUUUUCCCUUUGACAUUGGGUUUUUUUGUAGUUUAGUCAAUUUCAAAAUUUUCCAAUCUUUAAUUUUCUUUUUGUUUCUUGACAAUGCCAUCCUUGUCUGCAAGCGUGCUAGAAUCUUCACAUCAAAAUGUAUUCCAAGAUUAUUGUCGAUUUUUUCUUUUGAAUGUUUGUAAUCCUCCUCCUAUAUUAUUUUUAAUUUUAAUUUUUUUUUUCGAAACUGACAGCUGUUGACAUUCAGCUUAAGCCGGAGUUGCAUAUCUCAACAUAUUUCAUCACUGCAAGCGUACUUCUUCACAUCGAAAUCUAUUCCAACAUUAUUGUCGAUUUUUUCCUUUUGAAUGUUUGAAAUCCUCCGUCAAUCUUUUCUUCAUUUUAAUGCUUUUUUCGAAACUGACAGCUGUUGACAGCCAACUUCAGCGGGAGUUGCAUAUCUCAACAUAUUUCAUCACUUUCUGGCUUUGUCCAUCACAAGCUUCUUGAAAAGUUGAAUUUUUUCGCGAACAUUUAGUUUCUAAAAGCAAAAUAAAGAGACCGAAACUUCUACGUCCGAUUCAUGGGUAAAGAAAUUGAAAAAUGUUUGAAUCUACAAUAAACAACAAAGCCGGACCUAUUUUGAAAAUAUUCAACUUCAAUGUCGGUUAACAUGAUUUUCAAAGGCGGUAAAUUUUAAAUUUUUAGUUUCAAAUUUUUUCAUUUUGGAUUUUUUUUUUUAAAUUUUCCUACAAUUUUCAAGACAACUAAUACGCGAUUGUUUGAAACAACUUUUUAGAAAGUGCCUCCUUCGCCUUCAAUAUAUUUCGCGAUUUAGGAUGUAAAAAAAUGAUUCGAUAAAUAAUUUGUUACCCCUAAUGGGCUUGCAAUGUAUUGCAUCAUAAAGAUUCAAUUUGUUUUGAAAUUUAUAGUGAAAUGUUAUGCGGAACAUUUUCUUCAUUGGCCUUAAGUUUCAAAUAUGAAUAAUUUUGGAAGAUUUCAGCUAAAUUUCUAAAAGCUAUUGGAUUUCGUUUGUUUGUAGACCUUUAGUGAAAUUUAGUAACGAUAAUUUUCUCUGUUGGCAUUAAGUUCCAAAAGUGAAGAAUUGGGGAAGACUUUUGCGAAUUUCAAGAUAUUUUAAUGGAAAUAAAAAUAAGAAUUAUGAAUGUUAUUAUUUCGAAUUGAUUUCUCCUUUUUUGGUGGUAUUUGUAGUUCCUACGAAUUUCGUUUGUUUGGAGACCUCUAGUGAAAUUUAACUUAGAAUAUUUUCUUCAUUGGCUUCAAGUGCCAAAAAUAAAGCGUUGUGCCAGUUUUUGUUUCAAUUCAAAACAAAUCACUGGAAGUAGAAAUAUCAAGGAAUUCUAAAAAUAAUUAUUUUGCAUUUGAUGCCUCCAUUUUAUAUGGUAUUUUAAUUAACUACAGAGAGUUCUCAUAGAGUUCUCAUUGAUCCGAUAUAUAUUUGGGUGUCUCAUUUGUCAAAUAUUUUCCCUUUGACAUUGGGUUUUUUUGUAGUUUAGUCAAUUUCAAAAUUUUCCAAUCUUUAAUUUUCUUUUUGUUUCUUGACAAUGCCAUCCUUGUCUGCAAGCGUGCUAGAAUCUUCACAUCAAAAUGUAUUCCAAGAUUAUUGUCGAUUUUUUCUUUUGAAUGUUUGUAAUCCUCCUCCUAUAUUAUUUUUAAUUUUAAUUUUUUUUUCGAAACUGACAGCUGUUGACAUUCAGCUUAAGCCGGAGUUGCAUAUCUCAACAUAUUUCAUCACUGCAAGCGUACUUCUUCACAUCGAAAUCUAUUCCAACAUUAUUGUCGAUUUUUUCCUUUUGAAUGUUUGAAAUCCUCCGUCAAUCUUUUCUUCAUUUUAAUGCUUUUUUCGAAACUGACAGCUGUUGACAGCCAACUUCAGCGGGAGUUGCAUAUCUCAACAUAUUUCAUCACUUUCUGGCUUUGUCCAUCACAAGCUUCUUGAAAAGUUGAAUUUUUUCGCGAACAAUUAGUUUCUAAAAGCAAAAUAAAGAGACCGAAACUUCUACGUCCGAUUCAUGGGUAAAGAAAUUGAAAAAUGUUUGAAUCUACAAUAAACAACAAAGCCGGACCUAUUUUGAAAAUAUUCAACUUCAAUGUCGGUUAACAUGAUUUUCAAAGGCGGUAAAUUUUAAAUUUUUAGUUUCAAAUUUUUUCAUUUUGGAUUUUUUUUUUUAAAUUUUCCUACAAUUUUCAAGACAACUAAUACGCGAUUGUUUGAAACAACUUUUUAGAAAGUGCCUCCUUCGCCUUCAAUAUAUUUCGCGAUUUAGGAUGUAAAAAAAUGAUUCGAUAAAUAAUUUGUUACCCCUAAUGGGCUUGCAAUGUAUUGCAUCAUAAAGAUUCAAUUUGUUUUGAAAUUUAUAGUGAAAUGUUAUGCGGAACAUUUUCUUCAUUGGCCUUAAGUUUCAAAUAUGAAUAAUUUUGGAAGAUUUCAGCUAAAUUUCUAAAAGCUAUUGGAUUUCGUUUGUUUGUAGACCUUUAGUGAAAUUUAGUAACGAUAAUUUUCUCUGUUGGCAUUAAGUUCCAAAAGUGAAGAAUUGGGGAAGAC
Molecule: long non-coding RNA, 3296 nt
Organism: Musca domestica (house fly)
Lineage: Eukaryota; Metazoa; Arthropoda; Insecta; Diptera; Muscidae
Exons: 4
Source: RefSeq, a predicted model, not a curated record